RNAcentral lists this ribosomal RNA (1366 nucleotides) under metagenome. Its description in RNAcentral is "SSU rRNA". It matches the Rfam family "Eukaryotic small subunit ribosomal RNA", at positions 558 to 1767 of the family's 1831-position model. The record is from RNAcentral.
AGUCUGGUGCCAGCAGCCGCGGUAACACCAGCUCCAAUAGCGUUUAUUAAUGCUGUUGCAGUUAAAAAGCUCGUAGUUGAAUUUUGGAGUUUGCUUGAAUUUGGUCCGUCUCGAAAGGCGAGUACUAAUUCAAGCGCUCUAUAUUUGGUAACAAUGUACAUGGGUGCUUAACUGUGCGCAUGUUUUGGCAAGGGCAACCGAGUCAAAGGUCAGGAAUGUUGUGGGGAUUGUUUUGGGAAACCAAGGUGAUCUUACAUGGUAUUUUUGGCAACAUUUUACCUAUUUUACUUUGAAAAAAUUAGAGUGUUCAAAGCAGGACUUAGGUCCAUUGUAUAGCUCAGCAUGGGAUAAUGAAAAAAGACAGCUGUCUUAUUUUGUUGGUUUUUUAAGACAAUUGUAAUGAUUAAAGGGGACAGUUGGGGGUGUUUGUAUUGUUGAGUCAGCGGUGAAAUGCUAAGAUUUCAAUAAGACAAACUUCUGCGAAAGCAUUCACCUAGGAUGUUUUCAUCAAUCAAGAACGAAAGUUGGGGGAUCGAAGACGAUCAGAUACCGUCGUAGUCUCAACCAUAAACGAUGCCGACUUAGGAUUGGGAAAAUUUAAUUUUUCAUGAAUCUCCCAGCACUAUACGAGAAAUCAAGAGCCUUUGGGUUCCGGGGGGAGUAUGGUUGCAAGGCUGAAACUUAAAGGAAUUGACGGAAGGGCACCACCAGGCGUGGAGCCUGCGGCUUAAUUUGACCCAACACGGGGAAACUUACCAGGCCCAGACAGCGUUAGGAUUGACAGAUUGAGAGCUCUUUCAUGAUUCGUUGGGUGGUGGUGCAUGGCCGUUCUUAGUUGGUGGUGUGAAUUGUCUGGUUGAUUCCGUUAACGAGCGAGACCUUCAUCUUUCAAUAGCCACUGGAAGAUAUUGCAUCAAGGCUAUGGGGGCCUAUUUGAGGAAGGAUUCGUUCCCCUUGGAUAGUUGUUCCUAUGGUUGCUCUUCUUCCAGGAUGAGCUUCUUAAAGAGACUAUUUGUGACAAGCAAAUGGAGGUUGAAGGCCAAAACAGGUCUGUGAUGCCCUUCGAUGUUCUGGGCUGCACGCGCGCUACACUGAUAAAGUCAACAAGUUUACAACCUACUUUGAAAAAAGCGGGUAAUCUUUUGAAACUUUAUCGUGAUGGGGAUAGAUGAUUGCAACUAUUCGUCUUGAACGAGGAAUGCCUAGUAAGCGCAGUUCAUCAGACUGCGUUGAUUACGUCCCUGCCCUUUGUACACACCGCCCGUCGCUCCUACCGAUUGGAUGGUCCGGUGAAAUCUUUGGAUCGUGGGUUUGUCUUACUUUUGGUUCGCCAAAAGUAGCGCUCGUGAAAAUUUGAUUAAACCUU